AGUGAACGCUGGCGGCAGGCCUAAUACAUGCAAGUCGAACGGCAGCACAGCAGAGCUUGCUCUGUGGGUGGCGAGUGGCGGACGGGUGAGGAAUACGUGGGAAUCUGCCCAGUCGUGGGGGAUAACGUAGGGAAACUUACGCUAAUACCGCAUGCGCCCUUCGGGGGAAAGCCGGGGGACCUUCGGGCCUGGCGCGAUUGGAUGAGCCCACGUCGGAUUAGCUAGUUGGCGGGGUAAAGGCCCACCAAGGCGACGAUCCGUAGCUGGUCUGAGAGGAUGAUCAGCCACACUGGAACUGAGACACGGUCCAGACUCCUACGGGAGGCAGCAGUAGGGAAUAUUGGACAAUGGGCGCAAGCCUGAUCCAGCCAUGCCGCGUGAGUGAAGA
Molecule: ribosomal RNA, 388 nt
Filed under: uncultured bacterium
Lineage: Bacteria
Description: bacterial SSU rRNA
Rfam family: Bacterial small subunit ribosomal RNA
Source: RNAcentral